Homo sapiens (human) is the source of this 1983-nucleotide long non-coding RNA. Lineage: Eukaryota; Metazoa; Chordata; Mammalia; Primates; Hominidae. The record is from Ensembl.
AAGUUUGUUUAGGGCCUGAGCACAGGGGCCCAGCAGGUUCUUUCCGACGUCAGCGGCUGCGUACGGAGGCCGACUUAGGCAGGCCGCUCCAGGAACAAGGCCGUGCGGACAGGACUGACCUAGGCGCUUUUCCCCGUCGCUCCCAGAGGAGAAACGUACCGGGGAGGGGACAGACCGUGAGCAAGUGGUCCAAGUCUGCGCAGGGUGACCCCGAAGGCCCACCGGAGAGGCCGAGGCUUGUGGGCUACUAGAACUAGGCCUGGUAGGUGAAGGAGGCGGGUGAAGGGCCGGAUCCAGGACUGAAUCCGGGAGAGGCGGGGCGAGGAGGGGACUCCGGUGUAGCUGCUUGGGCAGCUCCCGCGGCCCCUCUGGCGGGGGUGACCGUUAUUGGACUCGCAGAGGGAAGAGUUGGGUAGCGUCCCCUACUCACCUAGAAGCGCUGCCGCCUGAGGCUCCAGCUGCCCCCCUCCCAAUUCAAGCCACGUCAGCUCGGGAAGCCCGUACGCGACACCUUCCACCGCCGCGCCCCGCCAGGGACUCAGCCACUAGCAGUUGGGACGGAAGAUGGGAUUAAGACACCGACCAAUCAGGACUAUCGGCAGGACGUUACCAGGGAGACCAGGCACACCUUGUUUGUUACCAACCUAUCAACAAUGACGGAAACCAAUCAACGACAGAAGAUGCUCCGCUUCCUCAAAGAAACAGCCAAUGGACCCUAAAGAGUGAAUGAGGGGAGUGAUUAGACGCGAGUAGGUGCCCCGGAACAAGAUCUGGGGAGGGACAGGAAGUGUCGAGUGGGCGGGCGUUCUGGGAAAGGUCAGAUGUUCUCAGUGUGAAGUGGUUAUGCUGGCUUCCUCCAAUUCCUCCUCUUCGUCGGUUGUGACUGACCGAGACAGCGGCUUGGGCUUCGGCAGAGACUUGAGACUGCGGGCACCCGCUGCCAUUAGGAUUGUUGAAUGAGCUGUGAGAAGGGAGUGGGGGAUAUGGGACUCUUAGAUUGAAAAAAUACUGGAGCCUCUUAGUUGUUCGUCUAGUUUCACCUUUUGAUUUUGUUGAUGAAAAAUAAUUAACCACAGAAGUAACUUGCCCAAAGUCAAACAGCGACUUAGUGAUGGAACUCGGACUAGAACCCGGUGUCAGUAUGAAAGAGGAUCAGCAAUGUCUGUAAGGACAUGAUUGUGAGAGAGAGAGUAGUGAAUACUAGGAAGGUGCCUCUUACAAAGUGGAGCCUAAGCCAGGACCUAAGCAAAGAUUGAGAGUUGAGGGCUCAGGCUCUGCAAUGAGUGUCAGUGAGGAGCUCCAGCAAAAGACUGAAAUCACUCAUGCUUUCCUUAAACCCCUAAGGAAAGGGAAGGAAAGUAGCCAGUUUCCAAUGAGCUGUCAUUUCAGGCACUCUCUUGGCAAUAAGAGUAAUGUUAGUUUGAAUUUAUUGAAUCUUGCUGUGCACUCAGCUGGCCCAUUGUAUGUAUACUCAUCUUAAUGAUUACAUAACUUCACAAUUCAAACAUCAGCUAAGUAAGGCCUUUCCUGGCUGCCCAUCUUACGGAACUGGAGGUCAUUAUUCUAAGUGAAAUAAGUCUGGCACAGAAAGACAAAUAUCCCAUGGUCUCACUCAUGUGGGAGCUUAAAAAGUUGAUCUCAUGGAGUAGAGAUAAGUACCAGAGGCUGGGAAGGUGGAGUUGGGGGAGGGAGGGAAGAGAUUGGUUAAUGGGUACAAACGUAGAUAGAAGGAAUAAGUUCAAGUGUUUGAUAGCACAGUAGGGUGACUAUAGUUAACAAUAUGUUAUAUAUUUCAAAAUAACUAGGAGAUUAGAAAUGUUCCAAACACAAAAAUGAUAAAUGUUUGAGGUGAUAGAUAUCCUAAACACCCUGAUUUGAUCAUUACACAUUGUAUGCAUAUAUCAAACUACCACACCCCAUAAAUAUGUACAAAUAUGUAUCAAUACAAACAUAAAUAAAAUUGCAAUUUCCUGCAUGCACUAU